CCUACGGGUGGCAGCAGUGGGGAAUAUUGGUCAAUGGGCGCAAGCCUGAUCCAGCCACGCAGCGUGAAGGAUGACUGCCCUACGGGUGGUAAACUUCUUUUAUAAAGGAAUAAGGUGAGGCACGUGUGCCUUUUUGUAUGUACUUUAUGAAUAAGGAUCGGCUAACUCAGUGCCAGCAGCCGCGGUAAUACGGAGGAUCCGAGCGUUAUCCGGAUUUAUUGGGUGUAAAGGGAGCGUAGAUGGGUUGUUAAGUCAGUUGUGAAAGUUUGCGGCUCAACCGUAAAAUUGCAAUUGAUACUGGCAGCCUUGAGUGCAGUCGAGGUAGGCGGAAUUCGUGGUGUAGCGGUGAAAUGCUUAGAGAUCACGAAGAACUCCGAUGGCGAAGGCAGCUUACUAAACUGCCACUGACAUUGAUGCUCGAAAGUGUGGGUAUCAAACAGGAUUAGAUACCCCUGUAGUC
This 460-nucleotide ribosomal RNA is filed under the name uncultured bacterium. Its description in RNAcentral is "partial 16S ribosomal RNA". It matches the Rfam family "Bacterial small subunit ribosomal RNA", at positions 338 to 795 of the family's 1533-position model. The record is from RNAcentral.